This 219-nucleotide long non-coding RNA is filed under the name Elaeis guineensis (African oil palm). Its description in RNAcentral is "long non-coding RNA (EGUI_LNC069544)". The record is from RNAcentral. Lineage: Eukaryota; Viridiplantae; Streptophyta; Magnoliopsida; Arecales; Arecaceae.
GUCAGCUCUGGGCUGGGCCAAAUGUUUGGCUGAGCUUAGCCCGAUGGCCAAACAGGUCCUAUUUUUUUGGCUAGAGCCUGGCCUGAAUGGUUUGAGACCAAGUUCGAAGCCCGACCUGAUGGAUCUCGGACCGACCCGAUGGGCCUCCUGACAGCCUGACCUACUUCCAGCCCUAUCUGUGGGACUACCUCCACGAUGCUAUUUUUGGUGAAUUUGGAA